RNAcentral lists this long non-coding RNA (306 nucleotides) under Elaeis guineensis (African oil palm). Its description in RNAcentral is "long non-coding RNA (EGUI_LNC049467)". The record is from RNAcentral. Lineage: Eukaryota; Viridiplantae; Streptophyta; Magnoliopsida; Arecales; Arecaceae.
GUUGGGAUGCGCAGGGGUUUCAUGCAUAUAUUUCAAAAAUUUUACAGUGAAAGAAUAAUAGAUUAAACUAUUUAAUCUAUAAAUAUAUAUAUAAUAUUAGAUCUUAAAACUUUUACAAAUAGAUCUAUGACAUAAAUUUAUAUGCAUAAAACUCUAAAUUUAAAAUAACAAGUAUAUGAAUCAAAAAUCAGCAUUUAGUAAUAGAUCUAAUCUACUACUAUCAGGGUCCCGAACCCAAUACCUGAGCUGGGUAGCCAAACUCCAUAAUCAAGAAUGUGAAUCUGAAAGUCUUCUCUAGUUGUUCAU